This 253-nucleotide ribosomal RNA is filed under the name uncultured bacterium. Its description in RNAcentral is "partial 16S ribosomal RNA". It matches the Rfam family "Bacterial small subunit ribosomal RNA", at positions 524 to 776 of the family's 1533-position model. The record is from RNAcentral.
UACGGAGGGUGCGAGCGUUAAUCGGAAUUACUGGGCGUAAAGCGCACGCAGGCGGUUUGUUAAGCUAGAUGUGAAAGCCCCGGGCUCAACCUGGGAUGGCCAUUUAGAACUGGCAGACUAGAGUCUUGGAGAGGGGAGUGGAAUUCCAGGUGUAGCGGUGAAAUGCGUAGAUAUCUGGAGGAACAUCAGUGGCGAAGGCGACUCCCUGGCCAAAGACUGACGCUCAUGUGCGAAAGUGUGGGUAGCGAACAGG